GAUGAACGCUAGCGGCAGGCCUAACACAUGCAAGUCGAGGGGCAUCACGGAUUGCUUGCAAUCUGGUGGCGACCGGCGCACGGGUGCGUAACGCGUAUACAACCUACCUUUUGGAGGGGAAUAGCCCAGAGAAAUUUGGAUUAAUACCCCAUAGUAUAUAGGAAUCUCCUGAUUUUUUAUAUUUAAACAUUUAUGGCCAUUAGAUGGGUAUGCGUCCUAUUAGCUAGUUGGUGUGGUAACGGCACACCAAGGCUACGAUAGGUAGGGGUCCUGAGAGGGAGAUCCCCACACUGGUACUGAGACACGGACCAGACUCCUACGGGAGGCAGCAGUGAGGAAUAUUGGACAAUGGGCGAGAGCCUGAUCCAGCCAUGCCGCGUGCAGGAAGACUGCCCUAUGGGUUGUAAACUGCUUUUACAGAGGAAGAACCACCCCCACGUGUGGGGGUUUGACGGUACUCUGCGAAUAAGGAUCGGCUAACUCCGUG
RNAcentral lists this ribosomal RNA (487 nucleotides) under uncultured bacterium. Its description in RNAcentral is "bacterial SSU rRNA". It matches the Rfam family "Bacterial small subunit ribosomal RNA", at positions 28 to 507 of the family's 1533-position model. The record is from RNAcentral.